UGUAGAUAUCAGUUAGGGACAUGGCUUAUUGGGACCUUAGCAGUAGUGGGUUAGUGGCUGGACUUGUUCCUAAAGUUCUUUUCUGACCUAAAUGAUUCUUUCAUUCUGUGAUUCCAUAGUCUUGAUUGUGACAAGAGUUUUUCUACUUUCCCUUCUGCCAGUGUUGCACUGUUCCAAAUAUUCCUCAAUAUCUCUUUCAAUCAGCAUCUUUCCUUAAUGUUUUGAUUGCUUUCCUUGGGCUUUGGCUGCUGUGUAUGUUUUCAGAGCCAAGAGAUGCAUUCCUUUGAAUGUCCUCCUUCUCACUAACCAGAAUAGUUUAUACAGCCUUUGAUCAGGAAACCUGGAAUGACAGUAAUUGUACUGAAGCUUGCUGGGUGCACUCCACCUCCAGACAGAAGGCAUUAAUACAGCUGCUCUCCUGUUUUAAGCAAGAAAUUUCAAAACCAGACAUGCAACUUGGAACAAUUUGGAUAUGUAUGUGAAGAUGGGUCACUGAACAUGCACUACACUGGAGAAGGGGCUGAGCUGUUUCUUUCAAGUUUGGAGAUGUCCACGGGUGUUUUGCAUACUUAGGAAUGGUUUCACCUUGUGUGCACUGAGAUGAGGUGCAGGAGCUGCUGAGGAUUCCACUGUUGCAAGGUCAAAGCCGAAAGCAGAUCCCCAGCGUGCUGCGGCACCCCGGACACGUGCAGGGGGAGGACAUGGGAGUGUACAACACUGAUAUCCUCAGUUUGCCCCACCUGGGGGGAAAACCUCCAAAAGGAAGGUCUGCGAUUCAAUCAAGUGAAUUAAAUGUCUGGACAACAGAAAAUUAACAUGGAAAAGCUUUGAUUGCUUUGAUCUGUCGUGACGUGCUUUUACCAAGAGCGUUCAUCUCUCUGACUUCCCAUCCCCCAUCAAAACAAAGGAAAGGACCAGAAGAAAAUAUUUCAAUGACAUUUUUGAAAAAAAAGUUUUAUUAUACAGUUUCCCCCCUCUAGUUCCUGAUUAUGCCUGACUUCUACUUCAUUUGCCCUCUCAGAAAAGGUUAAACACCAAGAAUGGCUCACAUAUUGCUCUCCAGGGAAAAAGACCAUGAUAGCUUCCGAGCUGUGACUGUCAUUACUGUAAAGCAUUUAUGAGAAAUCACACAAGCUACUCCACUAAAAUGGAUACAUUUCUCUGCAGCAACUUUUAUUUGGACUCUAUACCAGCUGUAGCUGUGAGUACAGCUGGGUGGAGAGAAAGGGAUAGAAAAACAAAAUUAAUUUCUUCUUGCUGAGUCUUCUAAUCUGUGAUUUUUUGUUUUUAAUUUAAAAAAUAUAACUGAGACCUGAACUUAACUACUGGAGUUCAGUAUUCCAUUUCAAAUGAAAAGAAAAUGUGUUUUGUACACACAAAUCUUCUGUAAAUGUUUCUAGAUUUGUUAGGCAAAACAGUUACUUUAAGAGAAAUGAGCAAUUUGGAUUGAGUGCUUCUUGAUUAGUGACUUAAUGACAUUUGUUACUUUGUAAAAUGGGAUAUCUUCUUAAAAAUUCUGCACAGGAACUGCUGCUGGAGUGGUUCUGGAAAUGAAGUGGUUAAUGAUGGUCAGGAAGACAGCCUGUAGAUAAAACAGAAACAUACACUGUUAAUUUAAUUCAAAUAUGGAAAUGCUUGCUGUUAAGUAAUGGUUUCUAGUAUACAUCGCUGGGUUAAUCUUCACCCUUUAGCCUUCAUCACUGAGGAUGUUUAAGGUCCCAGAGCAAGUGUCUUAAAUGCAUGUCCUUUGCUUUGCAAUCAGGGUAGCCUGAAUCCACCCUCAGACACUAAUGGCAUCAUAACUCAAUCCCCACAGGGCCCCGUUCCUCCACAUAUCAUGUCCCUCCUGGCUGAGACAAGGGCCCUGUAGAAGAUGAUAUGUGAUCCUGUGAUUAAAGAUAUUGCAAAAAAUCAGGCUGCAAAAGUAAUGUUCUGGUCUUUCUCAACCUUUGAAUAGGCUUAGCAAGAUAUUCUUUAAAAAGUUUAACAUUUGGGUUAGUUGUUUUUGUAAAAACCUAAAAAUAAGGAGAUGAAGUACCCACAGGAAAAAGCAGACCCCUUCCCAGAAUAAUAUUGGAUUCUGAUCUGUGAUCUGUUAAGCUGGAUCCAGACUGCUGGCUCUCUAGGUUGUAUCAUUUAAUAAAAGAGCCUGCAGCAGCUGUGAGAGCUUAAUGGCUGUUUAGGCAGCUGUUUAGACCAGCACGGAGUGGGGCAGUGUGCUUUGCCAUCCAUUGCACAGACAUGUCCCCUGGGCUCAGCUUCCCAUUUUGAAAAUGAGCAGUUUAUAGGCAAUCCUCUCCAUGCAAACAGAAUGUCUCUGUCCCUGGCCUCCUAUCCAGUGAUCAUUUAACAUGGCUCCCAUUCUCCACCCCACUUUCCUUCUUCCACUUUUCCUCCCUGCCUCUCUUGCCAGCCCUGGCUCACUUCUCCAGGUGCAGAUCUUUGCCUGGUCUGAGACUCCCUCUUGCUACUCAUCUGCCUCUUAUCUAGGACCGCGUUCCCCAAGCUUGCAGGACACCCAGAGAGGGAGGAAUGGGAGCUCACUCUGAAUCAGGGACUGCCUCUUGCAGCUCAGUGUAGAAACACUUGUGGGUGGAAGUCUCGUAGUGAUCCCAGAUUGCUCUGUGAAAAAGUUCAAACAAUUCGAUCAUGAGGAAGACCUGUAGUGAAAAAGUCAAUGAGAAUGGACUCUUCAGUCCAUCCAAAUCUGCUGAACUCUAUCAGAAUUCUUGACAGCUCACUGCUGUCCUCAUAAAAUCAAAAUUUCCCCAUUUUUUUAUGACACUGAAAGUUUUCUGGGGGAUAGAAAAAGCAGAACAACUCAACUCCAAUGUGUUUGAAGCCUUCACCCUGAAGUACAUGAAAGAGAAUAGAGAUUGACAGUAAAAUGACUUAAAAAUAUUUUCUAAGUAAGGAAAAGUGUGUGCUUCCAUGAUUUUGUUCUUGGAAACUGUCAAAUCCUCAGCAGAAAUGUGCCCCAAUACAUGGUACAAAU
Pyrgilauda ruficollis (rufous-necked snowfinch) is the source of this 2995-nucleotide long non-coding RNA. RefSeq lists it as uncharacterized. The record is from RefSeq and is a predicted model, not a curated record. NCBI's taxonomy places the organism in Eukaryota, Metazoa, Chordata, Aves, Passeriformes, Passeridae. The transcript is spliced from 3 exons.